This 847-nucleotide long non-coding RNA is filed under the name Anser cygnoides (Swan goose). RNAcentral's name for it is "lncRNA (ENSACDG00005009343.1)". Lineage: Eukaryota; Metazoa; Chordata; Aves; Anseriformes; Anatidae. The record is from RNAcentral.
UUCUUUUCAAGUUGUUUUAUUUUUUGAAGGUGAUACAUUUCAAAACCAAAAUCACUUAGGACUUAUAGCCUUGCUAUGGAAAAAUAAAAGAUAUAUUUCCAACACUAUGUGGGAUGCCACACAUUUGAGGUUCUGACAGGAAUAUAAUCAGCAAAAAUAAACAGGAAUUUCUUUUAAUAGUUUCAUGUGGUAGUAAAAACAUUUGUUAAUACAAAUCUUUUCCUCUGUAGAUCUUUAAGAUCUUUACUAAGAUGGGGAAUAAAUGUAAUUCCCAUUACUUACAGCUUGCGAAAUUGAUACAACAGAGAGAAGAGCUGCCUUGCUCGAGGGAAAAGAGUUGGUUGAAGCCUAUAUCCCCAUUGCAGGAAUGGCAUUACAGCAAACUAUUCAACCUACAGACAAAUGAAGUUCUUCAAGUAGGUUUUGUUGUCACUGUCACUCAAGAAGCCUCACUGAGGGAAGGUGCAAGGCUGCAACAGAAGGCAGAAAAUUUGGCUGUAGGAUCAGCACUGAUUGUAGCACAAGCAGACUGCUGAGCAAAAGCAGAGAACAUAAUUUAUGUUUCUGGGAAACACAGACGAAAAAAGACUUACUGACUAGUUUUUGCACUUUAGCACAUCCUUAGCUGAAGAACCUUUGGACAUCACCUCUGCUUUGGUGGUCUGCUGCUUCAGAUGCUGUCUCAUAAAAUUUAUCUCCUGGACAAAAAAAAAAAAAAUAUAUUAAAAGCAAAUCUCGCAGUUUCAGGACAUACAGAUAAACUAAUGAUUUUUUUCUUCCAUGUGCCUAUCUGUUGAGGGACUUUUCUUCUAGAUACAUUGAAAAAUAAAAUGGAUAAUUUAUCUCA